Molecule: ribosomal RNA, 547 nt
Filed under: uncultured bacterium
Lineage: Bacteria
Description: partial 16S ribosomal RNA
Rfam family: Bacterial small subunit ribosomal RNA
Source: RNAcentral
UGGGGAAUUUUGGACAAUGGGCGCAAGCCUGAUCCAGCCAUGCCGCGUGCGGGAAGAAGGCCUUCGGGUUGUAAACCGCUUUGUCAGGGAAGAAAUCUUCUGAGUUAAUACCUCGGGAGGAUGACGGUACCUGAAGAAUAAGCACCGGCUAACUACGUGCCAGCAGCCGCGGUAAUACGUAGGGUGCAAGCGUUAAUCGGAAUUACUGGGCGUAAAGCGUGCGCAGGCGGUUUUGUAAGACAGAGGUGAAAUCCCCGGGCUCAACCUGGGAACUGCCUUUGUGACUGCAAGGCUUGAGUGCGGCAGAGGGGGAUGGAAUUCCGCGUGUAGCAGUGAAAUGCGUAGAUAUGCGGAGGAACACCGAUGGCGAAGGCAAUCCCCUGGGCCUGCACUGACGCUCAUGCACGAAAGCGUGGGGAGCAAACAGGAUUAGAUACCCUGGUAGUCCACGCCCUAAACGAUGUCAACUGGUUGUUGGGAAGGUUCCUUCUCAGUAACGUAGCUAACGCGUGAAGUUGACCGCCUGGGGAGUACGGCCGCAAGGUUG